RNAcentral lists this long non-coding RNA (260 nucleotides) under Bos indicus x Bos taurus (hybrid cattle). Its description in RNAcentral is "lncRNA (ENSBIXG00005002676.1)". Lineage: Eukaryota; Metazoa; Chordata; Mammalia; Artiodactyla; Bovidae. The record is from RNAcentral.
UUUCAAUAUUUUAGGGUUGAUUACUGUGUUCAUUCACUACUAAUUUUUUUUUUUUUCUCUAGGGAGAACUUCUGAUGAUGCAGAUUUCUUGGGAAAUGUGUUGAUUUCACCAUAUUCAGGAAGGAUCGAUUAUCAUUUCUUGUGCCUAAGGUUCUUUGCAGAAUUUACAUCAAAAAUGCUUGAAGAAAGAUAGACAGAUAACAUGUAGAAAUAAUAUUUUGGAUGCAUUGGGUUAAAUUGAGUAUAUUAUUAAUGUUAAU